CAUGCAAGUCGAACGAUGAUGCCCAGCUUGCUGGGCGGAUUAGUGGCGAACGGGUGAGUAACACGUGAGUAACCUGCCCUUGACUUCGGGAUAACUCCGGGAAACCGGGGCUAAUACCGGAUAUGAGCCGUCCUCGCAUGGGGGUGGUUGGAAAGUUUUUCGGUCAGGGAUGGGCUCGCGGCCUAUCAGCUUGUUGGUGGGGUGAUGGCCUACCAAGGCGACGACGGGUAGCCGGCCUGAGAGGGCGACCGGCCACACUGGGACUGAGACACGGCCCAGACUCCUACGGGAGGCAGCAGUGGGGAAUAUUGCACAAUGGGCGAAAGCCUGAUGCAGCGACGCCGCGUGAGGGAUGAAGGCCUUCGGGUUGUAAACCUCUUUCAGCAGGGAAGAAGCGCAAGUGACGGUACCUGCAGAAGAAGCGCCGGCUAACUACGUGCCAGCAGCCGCGGUAAUACGUAGGGCGCAAGCGUUGUCCGGAAUUAUUGGGCGUAAAGAGCUCGUAGGCGGUUUGUCGCGUCUGGUGUGAAAACUCGAGGCUCAACCUCGAGCUUGCAUCGGGUACGGGCAGACUAGAGUGCGGUAGGGGAGACUGGAAUUCCUGGUGUAGCCGGUGGAAUGCGCAGAUAUCAGGAGGAACACCGAUGGCGAAGGCAGGUCUCUGGGCCGCAACUGACGCUGAGGAGCGAAAGCAUGGGGAGCGAACAGGAUUAGAUACCCUGGUAGUCCAUGCCGUAAACGUUGGGCACUAGG
Molecule: ribosomal RNA, 753 nt
Filed under: Cellulosimicrobium sp. WM-GM01
Lineage: Bacteria; Bacillati; Actinomycetota; Actinomycetes; Micrococcales; Promicromonosporaceae
Description: bacterial SSU rRNA
Rfam family: Bacterial small subunit ribosomal RNA
Source: RNAcentral